This 106-nucleotide ribosomal RNA is filed under the name uncultured bacterium. RNAcentral's name for it is "partial 16S ribosomal RNA". It matches the Rfam family "Bacterial small subunit ribosomal RNA", at positions 1392 to 1500 of the family's 1533-position model. The record is from RNAcentral.
GCCCGUCACACCAUGAGAGUUGGGAAUACCCGAAGCCUGUGAGCUAACGCAAGAGGCAGCAGUCGAAGGUAGAAUCAAUGAUUGGGUGAAGUCGUAACAAGGUAUC